This 343-nucleotide unclassified non-coding RNA is filed under the name soil metagenome. RNAcentral describes it as "partial contains 5.8S ribosomal RNA, internal transcribed spacer 2, and large subunit ribosomal RNA". The stretch from base 1 to 120 matches the Rfam family "5.8S ribosomal RNA", at positions 35 to 154 of the family's 154-position model. The record is from RNAcentral.
GAUGAAGAACGUAGCGAAAUGCGAUACGUAAUGUGAAUUGCAGAAUUCAGUGAAUCAUCGAGUCUUUGAACGCACAUUGCGCCCCCUGGUAUUCCGGGGGGCAUGCCUGUCCGAGCGUCAUUGCUGCCCUCAAGCACGGCUUGUGUGUUGGGCCUCCGUCCUCCUCCCGGGGGACGGGCCCGAAAGGCAGCGGCGGCACCGCGUCCGGUCCUCGAGCGUAUGGGGCUUCGUCACCCGCUCUUGUAGGCCCGGCCGGCGCUUGCCGACACAUCAAUCUUUUUUCCAGGUUGACCUCGGAUCAGGUAGGGAUACCCGCUGAACUUAAGCAUAUCUAAGCGGAGGA